GAAGGGGUGGCCGAGUGGUCCAAGGCGCCGCAACCACUUCAAAUACAUUUGAUCUUCCCUUGGAAUAUCAAAAUUAUUGCGGUCUGUUCUAAGAACAGUCGUGGGUUCAAAUCCCUCCCUCUUCU
This is a transfer RNA of 125 nucleotides. It matches the Rfam family "tRNA". Rfam says of the family: Transfer RNA (tRNA) molecules are approximately 80 nucleotides in length. Their secondary structure includes four short double-helical elements and three loops (D, anti-codon, and T loops). Further hydrogen bonds mediate the characteristic L-shaped molecular structure. tRNAs have two regions of fundamental functional importance: the anti-codon, which is responsible for specific mRNA codon recognition, and the 3' end, to which the tRNAs corresponding amino acid is attached (by aminoacyl-tRNA synthetases). tRNAs cope with the degeneracy of the genetic code in two manners: having more than one tRNA (with a specific anti-codon) for a particular amino acid; and 'wobble' base-pairing, i.e. permitting non-standard base-pairing at the 3rd anti-codon position. The record is from Rfam.